Molecule: ribosomal RNA, 458 nt
Filed under: uncultured bacterium
Lineage: Bacteria
Description: bacterial SSU rRNA
Rfam family: Bacterial small subunit ribosomal RNA
Source: RNAcentral
UACGGAAGGCAGCAGUGGGGAAUAUUGCACAAUGGGCGCAAGCCUGAUGCAGCCAUGCCGCGUGUAUGAAAAAGGCCUUCGGGUUGUAAAGUACUUUCAGUCGUGAGGAAGGUGUUAAGGUUAAUAACCUUAGCAAUUGACGUUAGCGACAGAAGAAGCACCGGCUAACUCCGUGCCAGCAGCCGCGGUAAUACGGAGGGUGCGAGCGUUAAUCGGAAUUACUGGGCGUAAAGGGCACGCAGGCGGUUAAUUAAGUUGGAUGUGAAAUCCCCGGGCUUAACCUGGGAAUGGCAUUCAAGACUGGUUAGCUAGAGUCUUGUAGAGGGGGUAGAAUUCCGAUGUGUAGCGGUGAAAUGCGUAGAGAUGUGGAGGAAUACCGGUGGCGAAGGCGGCCCCUGGACAAAGACUGACGCUCAUGUGCGAAAGCGUGGGGAGCGAAACAGGGAUUAGAUACCCGU